This 1346-nucleotide ribosomal RNA is filed under the name uncultured bacterium. RNAcentral describes it as "bacterial SSU rRNA". It matches the Rfam family "Bacterial small subunit ribosomal RNA", at positions 28 to 1381 of the family's 1533-position model. The record is from RNAcentral.
GACGAACGCUGUCGGCGUGCUUAACACAUGCAAGUCGAACGGAAAGGCCCUGCUUUUGUGGGGUGCUCGAGUGGCGAACGGGUGAGUAACACGUGAGUAACCUGCCCUUGACUUUGGGAUAACUUCAGGAAACUGGGGCUAAUACCGGAUAGGAGCUCCUGCUGCAUGGUGGGGGUUGGAAAGUUUCGGCGGUUGGGGAUGGACUCGCGGCUUAUCAGCUUGUUGGUGGGGUAGUGGCUUACCAAGGCUUUGACGGGUAGCCGGCCUGAGAGGGUGACCGGCCACAUUGGGACUGAGAUACGGCCCAGACUCCUACGGGAGGCAGCAGUGGGGAAUAUUGCACAAUGGGCGGAAGCCUGAUGCAGCAACGCCGCGUGCGGGAUGACGGCCUUCGGGUUGUAAACCGCUUUCGCCUGUGACGAAGCGUGAGUGACGGUAAUGGGUAAAGAAGCACCGGCUAACUACGUGCCAGCAGCCGCGGUGAUACGUAGGGUGCGAGCGUUGUCCGGAUUUAUUGGGCGUAAAGGGCUCGUAGGUGGUUGAUCGCGUCGGAAGUGUAAUCUUGGGGCUUAACCCUGAGCGUGCUUUCGAUACGGGUUGACUUGAGGAAGGUAGGGGAGAAUGGAAUUCCUGGUGGAGCGGUGGAAUGCGCAGAUAUCAGGAGGAACACCAGUGGCGAAGGCGGUUCUCUGGGCCUUUCCUGACGCUGAGGAGCGAAAGCGUGGGGAGCGAACAGGCUUAGAUACCCUGGUAGUCCACGCUGUAAACGGUGGGUACUAGGUGUGGGGUCCAUUCCACGGGUUCCGUGCCGUAGCUAACGCUUUAAGUACCCCGCCUGGGGAGUACGGCCGCAAGGCUAAAACUCAAAGGAAUUGACGGGGCCCCGCACAAGCGGCGGAGCAUGCGGAUUAAUUCGAUGCAACGCGUAGAACCUUACCUGGGUUUGACAUGGAUCGGGAGUGCUCAGAGAUGGGUGUGCCUCUUUUGGGGUCGGUUCACAGGUGGUGCAUGCCUGUCGUCAGCUCGUGUCGUGAGAUGUUGGGUUAAGUCCCGCAACGAGCGCAACCCUUGUUCACUGUUGCCAGCACGUUAUGGUGGGGACUCAGUGGAGACCGCCGGGGUCAACUCGGAGGAAGGUGGGGAUGACGUCAAGUCCUCAUGCCCCUUAUGUCCAGGGCUUCACGCAUGCUACAAUGGCUGGUACAGAGAGUGGCGAGCCUGUGAGGGUGACCGAAUCUCGGAAAGCCGGUCUCAGUUCGGAUUGGGGUCUGCAACUCGACCUCAUGAAGUCGGAGUCGCUAGUAAUCGCAGAUCAGCAACGCUGCGGUGAAUACGUUCCCGGGGCU